UACAGAGGUCCCAAGCGUUGUUCGGAUUCAUUGGGCGUAAAGAGCGUGUAGGCGGCUCGGUAAGUCCGCUGUAAAAGUCCAGGGCUCAACCCUGGAAAGCCGGUGGAAACUGUCGAGCUAGAGUCCGGAAGAGGCGAGUGGAAUUCCUGGUGUAGCGGUGAAAUGCGCAGAUAUCAGGAGGAACACCAAUGGCGAAGGCAGCUCGCUGGGACGGUACUGACGCUGAGACGCGAAAGCGUGGGGAGCAAACAGG
RNAcentral lists this ribosomal RNA (253 nucleotides) under uncultured bacterium. Its description in RNAcentral is "partial 16S ribosomal RNA". It matches the Rfam family "Bacterial small subunit ribosomal RNA", at positions 524 to 776 of the family's 1533-position model. The record is from RNAcentral.